Molecule: ribosomal RNA, 650 nt
Filed under: Mycobacterium fragae
Lineage: Bacteria; Bacillati; Actinomycetota; Actinomycetes; Mycobacteriales; Mycobacteriaceae
Description: bacterial SSU rRNA
Rfam family: Bacterial small subunit ribosomal RNA
Source: RNAcentral
GAACGCUGGCGGCGUGCUUAACACAUGCAAGUCGAACGGAAAGGCUCGCGUUGCAGGGUGCUCGAGUGGCGAACGGGUGAGUAACACGUGGGUGAUCUGCCCCUUACUUUGGGAUAAGCCUGGGAAACUGGGUCUAAUACUGGAUAGGACCAUGCUGUAGGUGGUGUGGUGGAAAGAUUUUUUCGGUAAGGGAUGAGCUCGCGGCCUAUCAGCUUGUUGGUGGGGUAAUGGCCUACCAAGGCGUCGACGGGUAGCCGGCCUGAGAGGGUGGACGGCCACAUUGGGACUGAGAUACGGCCCAGACUCCUACGGGAGGCAGCAGUGGGGAAUAUUGCACAAUGGGCGCAAGCCUGAUGCAGCGACGCCGCGUGGGGGAUGACGGCCUUCGGGUUGUAAACUCCUUUCAGCCAUGACGAAGCCCUUGUGGGGUGACGGUAGUGGUAGAAGAAGCACCGGCUAACUACGUGCCAGCAGCCGCGGUAAUACGUAGGGUGCGAGCGUUGUCCGGAAUUACUGGGCGUAAAGAGCUCGUAGGUGGUCUGUCGCGUCAUUUGUGAAAGCCCGGGGCUUAACUCCGGGUUGGCAGGUGAUACGGGCAUGACUGGAGUACUGUAGGGGAGACUGGAAUUCCUGGUGUAGCGGUGGAAUGC